Molecule: long non-coding RNA, 1903 nt
Organism: Populus trichocarpa (black cottonwood)
Lineage: Eukaryota; Viridiplantae; Streptophyta; Magnoliopsida; Malpighiales; Salicaceae
Exons: 3
Source: RefSeq, a predicted model, not a curated record
AAUAAGUGAAAUUGAAAAUACUCAACAAUCCACAGUUCCAAUGCUGCAGAGUACUAUCUCAUGUCACUACUCACCAUCAUCAUCCUCUCACUGGCCACUACUGCUGCCGGUGCGGUGCGGGGCAGUGCAGACAGAAGAAAGAAAUUAAAUUCAAAGAGGCUGAUGAUAGACAAAAACAACCAGCAAUACUAGUAGUAGUUUCCAUUUCCUUAAUCCAAAGCCAAUCGUUUCGGAAAAGCAGAAACCCCAGCAUCGACGCCAUUCAAACAAUACAAGCCUUCAAAAAUAAAACGAGCUUACUUACAAAAACGACAAGUCGCUGCUUGAUCAAGCCUUCCGUUCUAAAUCCAACCGAUUGUUGAAGUUCCUUUUGACUGCCGUUCGUCGCCAACUCCUCCGCCAGAACCACUGCCUUUUGGCUCUCAAGGUCAAAUAUCAUUCAUUAUUUAUUUUUGAAACCCAAUCACAGAGGAGUACUGGUACAAACCACAAGUGGUGUUUUAUGAUGAGAUGAUUAAAGUAAUGUCUAGCAAUGGAUUUAUUGACGAGGUCCGGCUUCUUUUUUUUAGGUAUUUGGAGACUGAAAUUAGCGGUGAUGACUCUGAUUAGUUUUAAGCUGAGUGGACUUGCUAUGAAGUGCCUAUUUGUAUUCGAAGUGUGAUAUAAAUUGAUUUUCAAAAUGUUUUUUAUUUUGAAAUGUAAAAAAAUAGUUUUUUUUUUUUAAUUUUUGUUUUAAUAUUAACAUCAAUUCAAAAAUUAAAAAAAAAAUUUAAAACUAGAAAAAAAAUCCAAUAUACAAAGUCUGUUGUAAUAGGAUGUGAACCUAACAGGUCUACAUUUAAAUUACUCGUGAGUGGUUUAGAAUACAUUGGCGAAUCUGUUACUGUCAGGCAGGAUGCUUACAAGUAUUACGGUGAUUCCCUCAAUUACGACGGGGGAAGAGAUAGCAAGUUGAGUUACUUAAAGUAAGAUAUAGAUCAAAAUCCCAGCUUUUGAAUUGGUUAGUUCACCAUCACUUGGCAGUAAGGGUACCUUGUGAAGAACAACCUGGAAUGUGUGUUCAACUUCAUGUUGCUGACAGAGAAAUCAUACAUGGCCUUUUGGUUCUGCAAUGCCAACAUGAAUCAAAGUAAAUCAUCUCAAAGUACAGCCUAGUUCAUGAAGCAAGGAUUGCCUGGUUAAAAACUCACGUAAAUGCUGCCUCUGACAUGUCGAAGUGUUCUUUCGGGAAAUUACACCAGCCACCAUAAUCCGCCGAAAGCCCGUAAUUUGGAGGACAGAAAUCUGUUGCAGUGAGAAUGACCGAGGGGCUACCCUGCAGGCACCAUAAGAUGUGGUCGACACAUCUGACCUCGAAGCAAGCCCCACAGGUACUCCCUCUGUUGAACAGCAUGCUACUUAGUCCAGCACUGUACUUUCCAUAGGUGGCCUUGUGAAGGUCCGCAUACCCACAAGCACCUUCUGCAACAUUAAACAAUGGCAGUUUAAUCUUUACAAUCCAAACUGAAACUUUUUUUUGUGGAAUAUGAAACACCAUUACGAGUUGAAGAAACAGAAUGUUUCACCCUUACUGGGACCAGUUGGUAGAGAAUUACCUACAACGAUCGAUCCAUUUGUUUCCUUAACGUAUGUUGCAGUGGCAGACUUCCAUUCCUCAUCAUCAGCGGUGAUCUUCCAUGUCUGGUGUAUAAUCAAGUAGAGAAGCAUGGCUUUAAGAGCACCCAUUUGAUAAGCAACGACUAUGAGAAUUCUGAUUUGUACUUGAUGAGAUUCUUUUCUUCUUGUUUUUUCCCUUUCUUCUCUUCUCUGUGAAAUUAUGGUCUUGAGUGAAGAGAAAGACCACCCUUUUCUUCGGGAAAUGACCCGAAUCUCCUUGCUGAAAUGAAGAUAGCUUUGUUGGUUA